Molecule: ribosomal RNA, 373 nt
Filed under: uncultured bacterium
Lineage: Bacteria
Description: bacterial SSU rRNA
Rfam family: Bacterial small subunit ribosomal RNA
Source: RNAcentral
UAAUACGAAGGGUGCUAGCGUUGUUCGGAAUUACUGGGCGUAAAGGGUGCGUAGGUUGUUUGGCAAGUUAGUGGUGAAAGCCCAGAGCUUAACUCUGGAAUUGCCAUUAAAACUGCCAGGCUAGAGAGUGUUAGAGGUGAGUGGAAUUUCUAGUGUAGGAGUGAAAUCCGUAGAUAUUAGAAGGAACAUCAAUGGCGAAGGCAGCUCACUGGGUCACAUCUGACACUGAGGCACGAAAGCGUGGGUAGCAAACAGGAUUAGAUACCCUGGUAGUCCACGCCCUAAACGAUGGAUGCUAGAUGUCGGGACAUUAGUUUCGGCGUCGUAGUUAACGCGUUAAGCAUCCCGCCUGGGGAGUACGGUCGCAAGAUUA